AUGAAGCUGGAUUCGCUGUAAUCGCGCAUCAGCCACGGCGCGGUGAAUACGUUCCCGGGCCUUGUACACACCGCCCGUCAAGCCAUGGAAGCCGGGAGUGCCUGAAGUACGCGACCGCAAGGAGCGUCCUAAGGUAAAACCGGUGACUGGGGCUAAGUCGUAACAAGGUAAC
RNAcentral lists this ribosomal RNA (172 nucleotides) under uncultured bacterium. Its description in RNAcentral is "partial 16S ribosomal RNA". It matches the Rfam family "Bacterial small subunit ribosomal RNA", at positions 1320 to 1500 of the family's 1533-position model. The record is from RNAcentral.